UACAGAGUGAGUCGCCUCGAGAGAAAAUUGGCUCGCCAUCUACAGUUCAGACCACAUAUUGAGGAAAUGAUACAUGCUUGCACUGGUUAAAUAUCUUGGUCAGCUGUAAUCUUAUACUACAUACAAAUAAGGUAUUGCUCAAAAGUCUAAAGACAAUAAAAACAUAUUGGUUAUAUAUUUUAACUAC
Long non-coding RNA from Cydia amplana, 187 nucleotides. RefSeq lists it as uncharacterized. The record is from RefSeq and is a predicted model, not a curated record. Lineage: Eukaryota; Metazoa; Arthropoda; Insecta; Lepidoptera; Tortricidae. The transcript has 2 exons.